GGGGAGAUGGCCGAGUGGUUAAAGGCGACAGCCUGUAAAUCUGUUGACUCUGUCUACAGGGGUUCAAUUCCCUGUCUCCCCA
This 82-nucleotide transfer RNA is filed under the name Spirochaetales bacterium. Its description in RNAcentral is "tRNA-Tyr". It matches the Rfam family "tRNA". From Rfam's summary of the family: Transfer RNA (tRNA) molecules are approximately 80 nucleotides in length. Their secondary structure includes four short double-helical elements and three loops (D, anti-codon, and T loops). Lineage: Bacteria; Pseudomonadati; Spirochaetota; Spirochaetia; Spirochaetales. The record is from RNAcentral.